AGAUUGAACGCUGGCGGCAUGCCUAACACAUGCAAGUCGAACGGCAGCGCGGGGGGCAGCCCUGGCGGCGAGUGGCGGACGGGUGAGGAAUACAUAGGAAUCUACCCUGUCGUGGGGGAUAACGUAGGGAAACUUACGCUAAUACCGCAUACGACCGAGAGGUGAAAGCGGCGGACCGCAAGGCGUCGCGCGGCUGGAUGAGCCUAUGUCCGAUUAGCUAGUUGGCGGGGUAAGAGCCCACCAAGGCGACGAUCGGUAGCUGGUCUGAGAGGAUGAUCAGCCACACUGGGACUGAGACACGGCCCAGACUCCUACGGGAGGCAGCAGUGGGGAAUAUUGGACAAUGGGCGCAAGCCUGAUCCAGCAAUGCCGCGUGUGUGAAGAAGGCCGUUCGGUGUUAAAGACACUAGUUGUUGGGAAGAAAAGACACGUUAGGUUAAUUACCCGUGGUGUUACUCGAACGGUACCCAAAGAAAUAAGCAACCGCUAACUUCGCGCCAGCAGCCGA
Molecule: ribosomal RNA, 508 nt
Filed under: uncultured soil bacterium
Lineage: Bacteria
Description: bacterial SSU rRNA
Rfam family: Bacterial small subunit ribosomal RNA
Source: RNAcentral